UAUAGAUGGAUCCGCGCUGCAUUAGCUAGUUGGUAAGGUAACGGCUUACCAAGGCAACGAUGCAUAGCCGACCUGAGAGGGUGAUCGGCCACACUGGAACUGAGACACGGUCCAGACUCCUACGGGAGGCAGCAGUAGGGAAUCUUCCGCAAUGGGCGAAAGCCUGACGGAGCAACGCCGCGUGAGUGAUGAAGGUCUUCGGAUCGUAAAACUCUGUUAUUAGGGAAGAACAUAUGUGUAAGUAACUGUGCACAUCUUGACGGUACCUAAUCAGAAAGCCACGGCUAACUACGUGCCAGCAGCCGCGGUAAUACGUAGGUGGCAAGCGUUAUCCGGAAUUAUUGGGCGUAAAGCGCGCGUAGGCGGUUUUUUAAGUCUGAUGUGAAAGCCCACGGCUCAACCGUGGAGGGUCAUUGGAAACUGGAAAACUUGAGUGCAGAAGAGGAAAGUGGAAUUCCAUGUGUAGCGGUGAAAUGCGCAGAGAUAUGGAGGAACACCAGUGGCGAAGGCGACUUUCUGGUCUGUAACUGACGCUGAUGUGCGAAAGCGUGGGGAUCAAACAGGAUUAGAUACCCUGGUAGUCCACGCCGUAAACGAUGAGUGCUAAGUGUUAGGGGGUUUCCGCCCCUUAGUGCUGCAGCUAACGCAUUAAGCACUCCGCCUGGGGAGUACGACCGCAAGGUUGAA
RNAcentral lists this ribosomal RNA (687 nucleotides) under Staphylococcus aureus. RNAcentral describes it as "bacterial SSU rRNA". It matches the Rfam family "Bacterial small subunit ribosomal RNA", at positions 220 to 898 of the family's 1533-position model. Lineage: Bacteria; Bacillati; Bacillota; Bacilli; Caryophanales; Staphylococcaceae. The record is from RNAcentral.